UUCCCAUCCCGAACACGGAAGUUAAGCUUUUCAGCGCCGAUGGUAGUAGGGGGCUUCCCCCUGUGAGAGUAGGUCGUCGCCGGGC
This 85-nucleotide ribosomal RNA is filed under the name Listeria grandensis. The record is from RNAcentral. Lineage: Bacteria; Bacillati; Bacillota; Bacilli; Caryophanales; Listeriaceae.